Long non-coding RNA from Macrobrachium nipponense, 2893 nucleotides. RefSeq lists it as uncharacterized. The record is from RefSeq and is a predicted model, not a curated record. NCBI's taxonomy places the organism in Eukaryota, Metazoa, Arthropoda, Malacostraca, Decapoda, Palaemonidae. The transcript has 3 exons.
AACUACUAAUGCAGUGGCAUGUUUCCGCCGGUCAAUUUGACAGGCACAGACAGUGAGAGAGGACGGCGAAACGCCAGAGCUAUUUUUGUUACCCGUAUUUAUGUAUACUGAAGUUAAAACAACCUGCCAGGGUGUGGUGUUUGUAUAAACUGGAAAGAUAAAUAAAGGAGCUUGCCUCAACACCCCUCCCCCACCUCCCAAAGUAGGGCUGGCAGUGAGGACACAACAAGUUAGUAGUUAGUGUCCGUGAAACCUCUCCUCCUUACUCCUGUCAUGCAAGCAGAGGCCAUAAUAUGAAAUAUAAAGGAUCCAAAGUAUUUCCUGUGACAGAGUACACAUUGAGUGCAAGACCACAACCCUUACUCUGGAAGAAGCAUGACCUUGAUCACAUACACUGUCGUGAUGUGCAGAACAAUCCAAGCGAGAACAUCAGGGAAAAUCACUCGUGCUAUACCUGACUCUGGAAGAUGAACAGCAAGAGUAGGACCUCAAUCACAAAUAUAUCUGAUAUGUGGAAUGAUCCAACAGAAAACGUCAGGGAGAAGAUCAGUCUUGCCUAGCAGCCUCAAAUCCAGACUCUGGAAGACAAAUGGGAGGCGUAGGAUCUCCAACACGUACACUGGCAAGUGGGGGUCCACGGCUAUAUUUGCCUACUCCCCCAAAAUCGGAGACAUUUCAACGACCUCAGGCUGAGAUGAAGAACCUGCCUCAGAACUCUGAUGCGAGUGAAGAUCAACACAGACUGCAACAUGAUCACGUGAUCAAAGGGUCCGUGUUGGGGAGAGGUAGAAAAGUCCUUCUCUCUCAGAAGAUGCUCCACGGACUGGAACAUGUCACAUACUUAAAGGCUCUGUGCUGGGAAGAUGUAGAAAUACAUUUCUCAAUCUCGGAAGAUGCUCCACAGACUGGAAUGUGAUUACAUACUUGAAGGAGCUGUGCUGGGAAGAUGUAGAAACAUUUUUCUCACUCCUAGAAGAUGCUCCACAGACUGGAAUGUGAUUACAUACUUGAAGGAGCUGUGCUGGGAAGAUGUAGAAACAUUUUUCUCACUCCUAGAAGAUGCGCCACAGACUGGAACUCGUUCACGUACUUCAAGGGGAGUCGUGUCCAUACUGGGAAGAUGGAGAAACACCGCUCUCACCCUUAGCAGAUGCCAAAAGUCUCAAUUCAUUGGAGGGGAGGAGGAAAGGUAAUGGAUGUCUUGUCCUAUGACAUCUGUGUUUGAUAAGUGUCCCAGAGUUUCAAGCAAGAGGUCCAUCCUGAGUCCAUCAAAUCAACCAAAUCUUGUUAGAACACUUUCAAUGGGUUGACAACCAACCCUGAAGGCGUCAUGGACGAUGAUGGAAGUUACAGCAUGGCAACAGGCAGAGGCGAGAAGUCACAGGCAAGGAUGUAUUGAGAAUAACAUUACAGCAUUGGGACUGGUAGUCCAAGUCAAAGGUCUCUGCAAUAGCAAAGAUGGCCUCCUGCAGCAACCAAAGGACCUCCCGUGAACUUGUACAAGAUGGGAUAGCGAAGAAUUUCCAUCGCCCCAAGGAACAGCUAAUUUAAAAAAAACUUUCAACUGAAACUAUGUAUGAGGAAGAUGGCAUUGUCUUUAAUGUCCUUAGCUAUUUGAAGCAAAAUAUACUGUUAUAUAAAGAGAAUAAAACUUGUUUCACCAGGAUUAGAAUGGCUUACUUUGAUAUCCUAAAGGAAAUAUUAUUUAGUGUUCAUUUCAGCUGAAAGUCUGUGUGAGGGAGUGCACCAAACCCAUCCCCACACAGGUGUGAUUACUAAUCAAAGCAGAAAGUAAUACGGAGAUCACAAGAAUGCAAUCGCAGUAAUAUAAAAUGAACAUUGUUUAGCAGGUCUUGAGAGAUGAGUGUUAACUAUGAUCUUGCCAAAGGGAUGGUAGUUUCCGUAAAAUCAAAGGGGCUUCGGUCAAGCAAUAUUUUUAAUGUGGAUGCUUAGUCUUUUUUAAAGUACCAAAUGGAGAUGAUAUUACUUACAUAUCUGUAUCUUGUGCAUUAUUGUACUCUGGUAAAAUCACCAUACUGUGUAUAGUACACUUCAGAACUGAAUGAGGGUGGUUGUUGACAAGCUGAAAGUAAGGGAGCUAAAGCCUUUGUAUAAAUGCAAUUUAAUCUAGUGCAUUCAACAAGUCUUCAAAGUUACUUUCAGGUUAUCAGCAACCACAACUCAGACAAUUCUUAACUACUGUACUUGGGGCACUGUUUUUGACCAGAGUAUAGUACUGUACAAGACCUAUAUCUGUUAAAUAGCAUCAUCCCCAUUCAGUACUGGAGAAAUGCAAAAGCAUCCAUAUUAGAAAUAUUGCUUGACCAAAGUAACCUUAGAUUUUAAGGAAACAUUUUGUAGCAUCCCUUUGGUAAAAUCACAUUGAACAGUCAUCUCUCAAGACCUGAUAAACAAUAUUCAGUUCAUAUUACUGCAAUUGCAUUCUUAUGAUCUCCAUAUUACUUGCUUUGAUUAAUAGGACACUUGUGUGGACAUGGGUACUUGGUGUACUUCCUCACACAGACUUGUAUUUCAGCUGAAAUUGUUUGGCCCCCAAGUUUGUCGUACUGUUUGGUAUAUUGAUGGUGGAGUCUGCUUGACAAGUUGGACCCGAGUUGCAAUGAAGAAUGAAUUUAUGCCAUGCAAUCAAAAGAUAUGAAUAACUUCCAUUUCAUUCUCUCAACUGAAAAUGUUUGCCUGAACUGCUCUUUUGUAUAAUGCAAUAAAUGGUGCAUACUUGAAUUUUCCACCAUACUGAAAUUAAAAUGAAUUUAUACAUGCUAUAGAAAAUUAAUACCAAUCAGUAAUGCCAAGGAACAUUAUAUUCUUUGAAAAGGUCAUUAAUUGUUGUUUAAAGCAAAAUUUCCACAAAAAUUUCAUUGCUAUAUACAUU